RNAcentral lists this unclassified non-coding RNA (481 nucleotides) under Hevea brasiliensis (rubber tree). The record is from RNAcentral. Lineage: Eukaryota; Viridiplantae; Streptophyta; Magnoliopsida; Malpighiales; Euphorbiaceae.
AACAUAAGCAGAAAGAGAAGCAUAAAGUACUUGACAACUGUUCUGAUGGAGGUGAUACUAUGCAAUCAAAGAUGAAGGGCAAAAGGGAUCCUGAGGAAGAUUUAUUGAGGGCCUCAAAGAAAAUCAAGACUGAAGUUUUGCCACAAGGUUGGGUGUCUGAUCAUGUAACCAUUGAAAAAGUAGGUCCUAGUUCAACUAAUGGUUUGCUUAUUAUGUCAUCAGGGAAGAAUCUGCCUAAAGCCAAUGGCCGCACUUCUUCUAAAGAUCAGGUUCAAGUUUCUGCUAGAAAACCAAAGGACGAAGUUCCAACUUCCAUGGAUGACGUGACCAUGGUUAUGGGAAAGCAGGUUAAUCGAGAAGUUGGAAAAAAGAGGAAAGUAAAGGGAAGUUAUGAUGCUCAAGGUAAUCCAGUUGCCCUUUCAUAUACAGGGCAUAAUCUCCGGGAAAGCAGGAUCCCGGCCAAGGAGGAGUUCAGUGAGAA